CCUACGGGAGGCAGCAGUGAGGAAUAUUGGUCAAUGGGCGAGAGCCUGAACCAGCCAAGUCGCGUGAGGGAGUACUGCCCUAUGGGUUGUAAACCUCUUUUGUCGGGGAGCAAAAGCCGGACGUGUCCGGGUGUGAGAGUACCCGAAGAAAAAGCAUCCGCUAACUCCGUGCCAGCAGCCGCGGUAAUACGGAGGAUGCGAGCGUUAUCCGGAUUUAGUGGGUUUUAAGGGUGCGCAGGCGGAUUUUUAAGUCAGCGGUAAAAUCGUGGGGCUCAACCCCAUCCAGCCGUUGAAACUGGGGAUCUUGAGUGGGCGAGAGGUAUGCGGAAUGCGUGGUGUAGCGGUGAAAUGCAUAGAUAUCACGCAGAACCCCGAUUGCGAAGGCAGCAUACCGGUGCACAACUGACGCUCAGGCACGAAAGCGUGGGUAUCGAACAGGAUUAGAUACCCGAGUAGUC
This 458-nucleotide ribosomal RNA is filed under the name uncultured bacterium. RNAcentral describes it as "partial 16S ribosomal RNA". It matches the Rfam family "Bacterial small subunit ribosomal RNA", at positions 338 to 795 of the family's 1533-position model. The record is from RNAcentral.